CGGUGAAGAAGUGGAAACCCUAAAACGCCCUCUUUUCCUGCUAAAUCUUAACCCAGCUCAAAGUACAAGGCUCUGCCGCUGCAACCAUAGCAAUGGCGGGCGAUGCCACGCAAAUUGAUCAAAAUCCCAUCGUGAACCCGUCCGAGUUCCAGCCAAGUCCUCCACAAGAUGAGCAACCACCUCCUCCUCUCUCAAAAAAUGCCCAAAAGAAGCUGUUGAAGCUGCAGAAAUACGAGGCCAAGAAGGCGGAGAAAAAAGCCUCAAUUAAAGAGCAGAAGAAGCGAGAGGCCGAGAGAAAGCGCAAAGAAUGGGAGGAAACCCUCACCGGUGUCUCGGAAGAGGAGAGGUUAACGCUCAUCGAGUCGAGAAGAAAGCUUAGGAAGGAGAGAAUGGAGAAACGAUCUGAGGAAAGGGAAAGCAAGAUACAGAGGCUUACCGGAGCCAAAACCAACGGCCAAAAAAUCGUCAUUGAUCUCGAAUUCUCUCACCUCAUGACCUCCUCUGAGAUCCACAGCCUUGUUCAACAGAUUAUGUAUUGCUAUGCGGUGAAUGGAAGAUGCGCUUCUCCUGGUCACCUCUGGUUGACGGGUUGCAGGGGGGAAAUGGAGAACGAAUUGCAAAGGCUUCCAGGAUUUGACAAAUGGAUAAUUGAGAAAGAAUGUCGAUCUUAUGUUGAAGCAUUGGAAGAUCAGAAAGAAAAUCUAGUUUAUCUUACAGCAGAUGCUGAAAUGGAGUUGGAUGAACUUGAUCCCAAAAAAAUAUAUAUUGUUGGUGGGUUAGUGGAUCGGAAUCGGUGGAAAGGGUUAACCAUGAAGAAAGCACAAGAACAGGGAAUCCAAACUGCAAAACUACCCAUAGACAAUCACUUGAAGAUGUCAAGUUCUCAGGUCCUUACAGUAAACCAAGUGAUAGAGAUACUCCUUAAGUUCUUGGAAACAAGAGAUUGGAAGGCUUCAUUCUUGCAAGUAAUCCCCCAAAGGAAAAGAUGCGAUGCUGAUUCAACAGAAAAUCAAGUAGAUGGGGAAGAGUGCAGGGAGAAAGAUGAACCAUCUGAGAAGAAAAAGAGCUGCAUUUUAUGAUUCUUGCAGCUAGCAGAACUUGUGAGCUAUAAAUUUGAAUGUCAUACGGGCUGUUUUUUGUCUGUAUAACUGAAAAAUUGUAUGCCUAACAUCAGUUUUCAAUGCAAGCUUCCCAUUUUUCAGUUAUACAGACAAAAAACAGC
Molecule: unclassified non-coding RNA, 1222 nt
Filed under: Hevea brasiliensis (rubber tree)
Lineage: Eukaryota; Viridiplantae; Streptophyta; Magnoliopsida; Malpighiales; Euphorbiaceae
Source: RNAcentral